UCUGUUAUGUCUAUCAUUUUUAUUAGACUUGCUUUCCUUACAGGCAACCCCCAUACAAGCCUCUUAUUGGGUAAUCUGCUCUUCAUCACCCUGUGUGUUUCAAUCCACAUAUUUACACGAUUGGAGCUGUAUAGGAAAUAAGAUCCACAUCAAUCCACUUUUGUACUCCCCCUCUGGAAAAUAUUUCACUGCUGGGCUGUCAGGAAUCAUUACAAACCCAAGGAGCCAAUGUCCUCAUACAAAUGCUGUCAACUCGCCUCCAGGACCAGAGAUGAUGUAUGAGCUGCGUUAGGCUCUCUGCUUUCCUUGGUGCUCAGAAAUGCUGCUCCUCUCUGGAAAGGAGGAUGCUUCUUGUUGCAAAAGCCUAUACACAUCUGCACUUAAGGAGCAGAGAGAUAAAGCCUUGAGCUGUAAGGACUCAUCCUCCUUCUGCAGCUGCACACCAUGUGCUGAGUUCAUGGGGUGUUGUGCAACAGUGCUGACAAGCACCAAGCACCUUGCUGAGCCAGUGAUCACAGCUCCUGGUACAUGCCACAAUGCCUCCAGGGCCUUUCUGCCAGCAAAGCCCUUGCCUUCUCUUAGCUUCCUGGGUAGAAAUAGGACAUCAGUGUGUCAUCACACCACAAAGGCAGUACAAAGACAAAUGUCUUAAUGUGAGAAUGUUAAAGCCCAUGUGAGUCUUCUAGGCAGAAGUCACUUCUGUGGUUUCUUUUAAAUGCAACAACAACAAAAACUGUGUGAUGGGGAACUGUUCUGUCAUGGCCUGAACUGAUGAUUGAGCACCUGGUGAAGGGGCUGGCUGGCCCAGGAAGCACAGGUGCAAGCAAUUCACCUUUGCAUCCCACAUGACUGGAAGGGGUGGGUGCUGGGUCCACCCCUCCCUGAGCUCAUUUAAGGCUUGCCUCCAAAGGGAGAAAGUUUCCUGUAUGAAGGCCAGUUCCUGGGAGGGAGUGUUUUACAGCUGGAUACUCCCAUCACCAGUUGGGUGCUGAAGACAUCUGUGUGUAGUGCUGGUCCCACAGUCACAGAGCCUGCACCUCCUGUCCCACUGUUUACCAGUGAGGGGCUACAUCUCCCAGCCUAAACACAUCUCUGAGGGGCUGCGAUGCACAAAGGCUGAGCGUGCCUUGGAAGUCACUAUUUUUGGAUCCUGUCAGCUGAAGAUAUAGGAGGGAAGAAUACUUUCCAGCAUCAUGGAGGCCUUAAAACCUGCUUGGUUCAUAGCCACAAGAAUCCCAAAGAAGCACUCAGACAAUUUGGCUCAUGAAAGGAGAAAAUCCUUCAAUUGCUAGGCCAUGAUAAUACCUGCAAGGCCAAAGUUGCCUUCUCUGUUUAAGUGUAUUGGCCUUUUGCAGUCUAUUAACAGCAUUUGAUGGCUCUUACUUUUGGCUGACAGCGGCAGAUGCAGGGAACUGUACCACUCCAAGCUAUGGGGAGGGCAUGAACUGCAGGUUUCAAUGAGCACCCUUAGAAUGUGCAUGGUGCCACUGUUCCAUUUCUACCCACUGUAUAGCCAGGGAGUCUGAUAUACAGAUGGGGUAGGAACAGCAGCUUUAUGUCCUAAUGAUAACCAACUAGAUUUUCAGCUGUGUGAAUGAAUGGCUGCCCACAAGACUGUAUCACACACCCAGCACGUCCCAUGCAGGCCUUCGAAACCUCAGCAGUUUUUCAAAGGCUGGAAAGCUGGUGGGGAAGAGAUGCUAAGCUGGCCUGCAUGUUGCCUGGCUCAGCUGAUGUUCCUCACUGUGAUUCCAGGCUACAGACCUGCUUCCCCACAUCUGUACACAGGAAAAUUACAUGAGCCUGCUCAGGAGAGGCAGUGCACAUCUGAUGUGAUGGAAGCCAAGAUGUUUCAGAAAUGCACUGCCCCAGGGCUCCGGGUGAUCAAAUUAUUAAAACUGAAGCUUGCCAGUGGUGUUGCUUUCUUGUCAAUGAUUUUGGCUAUUACACACUAGAAAACUAUCUCCAAAUUCUUGCCCCAGCCACACGUAUUCAGAGGAGAUGGAUAAAUAAACAUACUGGCCAGAAAUAGGAGACUCUGGAAAUCCCCUCUUGGCAACUGCUCCAUCUGUGGAUAAAUGCUGAAAGAGAACAGUGCAAAGGGAAUAUCGCUAUUGCCAGCACUGGCCUCCACUGGACACUGUGUACUGGACCUUAUCUGUAAACACCACCCUCCCUCCAGCAAGUCAGGUCCUUGAGAGAUCUGGCAAGAAUUUACAUCUAAGCAAUAACUGUAGGAUCAGCUGGGGAGAUGGUCCUUGUCUCAUCCCAGGACUGCUAUCAGGCUUCCUGGAAGAUGACCAGUCUCACAGCCCAAGCAUUCAGAGUCUCAGGUUCUCCUAAUCCUUUGUAGUGCAAAGUCACCUGAUGUGUGCAUUACCUUUGCAGUGCAGCACAAUGGAAACACUUGAAAGAGCUGUCCUAGUAUCCCAGCAGUGAAAACAAGCAUUGGGUUACAAUUAGGGUUAGCAAGUUUCUACACCUCUUCAGGUGUACUCUUUAAAGGAUCUGACUUGGCUAAAAGUUUUAGGUCUUGGUGAAAGUGACCUGCAGAAAAUACAGAAUUAUGUCUGAAAUCAUAGGCAUGCAAGUCACAAUUACAAGGACAUUUGAUUACCUGACUGAUUGUUACAGGUCACCGAUCUGUUACCAAGCACUUCUCAUUAUGUUGGAGUUCUUGGACUCAGCUAAUUAUAAACUAUUCUGAGAGCAAGCAAGUCAGACUGUGUUGAGGGUAUAGCAGUUACAAAAGCACACGUUUUGAGUGUCAGCAAAUCGCUUAGCUAGUCACCAGGACACUGGGAUGGGGGUUCUCAGGUCUAGGUUUUCUUUUUGCCUCCACCAUGAUGUGCUCCGUAACCUUUAGGAAGUCACUUGCGUUAUCUAUUUCCCAGAUUCCCUUGCAGCUUUUCCUCCCCUACAAUGGUAAGCUUUUCCAGGCAGGGACCUGGAUCUCAUUCAGGGCCUUUAGGUGCUACUGAAAUACAAAAACACGGCAAUCCUGGAGACCUUAUUCUUGUUCCACUUGCAGGCAGUCACACCUCAUCAGAGAAGUGUGGAUAAUGUUCGGAUAAUGUGACACAUCUUACAUACUUCCUUUUGAGCAGGGUGUUUAAGAUGUCUAGUAUGUGUAUUUAAUGUGAUGCUAAGAUAGUGUUCUUAUACUUUAUGGUUGUUAGAAAAGGUGUUUGCACUGACAGCCUCAGGAGAAACACUGGGUGCAAAUCACAACAGACAGGAUUGAGAGCUGGGCGCCCACUUUGCCAGCAGGAGAUUACUUCUGCAUUUCAUGAAUUCUGCUUGACUAAGGAAAGCUUCUUUGGGGCUGCCUCAGCUCCAAGCCCUAGAAGUUGCUGUCUGUAGAGGAAAGUGGUAAAACCAGUGUGUUCUGGUGAGGGACAGCUGAUCCAGCAUAUCACUCUUCUAUGAUCAUCAUUUGCAUUGUGAUCAGAUUUACUUUUUGCUAACCAGAAAACUGUAGGCAAAAAUUACAUCCCUGGGGAGAAGCACAUAGCUGACACCACUGAAGCGUGUUCCUGGUUUAUAUGAAAUACAUAAUUGACAAGGCACAAGUCUUGUCUGCUAAUAGUGUGCCACCUGGCAAUAUCAGAAGGCUUAGCCAAGUGUUAUUUAUCUUGUGUUGCUGAUGGUUGCUGGGAAUUAUUCUUUUGUUUGAUAAAAAACAUGCUAUUGAAGCAAAAGGAUCAUUUUUUUUAACCUGCUGGUCCCAGGAAGGCCUUAAUGCUUUUGAUGAAUAUUGCAAAAUGAACACACUGUUGAGUCACAUAGACCUCAGAGAAUCAGCAUGGGUCAGCAUGUUUCACAUUGCCAUCUAAUUCUUCAAGCCAGCAGCUGAUUUCUUGGCUCUGAAAAGCUCUCAGGUUAUCCAAUAUAUAACUAUCUCUUCAGAUUUGUUUUUCUAAUGGCAAGUCAAAAUAUGGUUUCAAUUUCAUCAGAAAGUCCUAUUUAUACAAGUGUUUGCAGUGGAGUUUUAUGGUCUUUUCCCAGUUGGAUCAGAUCAUUACAUUGCAUUCUGCUGAAGUUCGUGCCGUGAGUGCUGCAGCCAAUGCUGAUGGGCAGAGCACACCUUAUGUUCAGCCAUUGCUCUUCCUUUUUCUUCGUCAUUACCACUGAGGGAAAUAAUUGGUGAAAAGCCAGGAAGACUCCUUAAGGCAUGUUUCCAAGUCAGGACCUGGGAUGUGGCCAGGUAGCUUUCAGUAACGUGACAGGGAGCCAGUUUCCCACAAACCAUUUCAAGAACGCACCCUUCAUCUUCACAGUCCAGUUUCAUCAUAAAUAGUGAGGAUCCACGCGCACACACACCCACACAGAGAACAAAGCAGAAGGACACAUGGCAAAGCAAUCAAAUAUAAAAUAUGGGCAGUUUUGAAUUUCAUUUUGCUUCAGUGUUUUGGACCAUUUCCAUCAGAGAAUUCAUUUGGUUAAAUGCAUACACAAUGUGUUACUGUCAUGGCCAUGCUCAA
Long non-coding RNA from Numida meleagris (helmeted guineafowl), 4484 nucleotides. RefSeq lists it as uncharacterized. The transcript is spliced from 3 exons. NCBI's taxonomy places the organism in Eukaryota, Metazoa, Chordata, Aves, Galliformes, Numididae. The record is from RefSeq and is a predicted model, not a curated record.